AGAACGAACGCUGGCGGCAUGCCUAACACAUGCAAGUCGAACGAGACCUUCGGGUCUAGUGGCGCACGGGUGCGUAACGCGUGGGAAUCUGCCCUUGGGUUCGGGAUAACAGUUGGAAACGACUGCUAAUACCGGAUGAUGACUUCGGUCCAAAGAUUUAUUGCCCAGGGAUGAGCCCGCGUAGGAUUAGCUAGUUGGUGAGGUAAAGGCUCACCAAGGCGACGAUCCUUAGCUGGUCUGAGAGGAUGAUCAGCCACACUGGGACUGAGACACGGCCCAGACUCCUACGGGAGCAGCAGUGGGAAUAUGGACAUGGCGAAAGCCUGAUCCAGCAAUGCCGCGUGAGUGAUGAAGGCCUUAAGGGUUGUAAAGUCCGUACUUUUUAACCCGGGAAGAUAAAUGACUGGUACCGGAGAAGUAACGACCCCGGCUAACCUCCGGACGCCGAAGCCGAGCCCGC
This 460-nucleotide ribosomal RNA is filed under the name uncultured soil bacterium. RNAcentral describes it as "bacterial SSU rRNA". It matches the Rfam family "Bacterial small subunit ribosomal RNA", at positions 26 to 518 of the family's 1533-position model. The record is from RNAcentral.